RNAcentral lists this signal recognition particle RNA (148 nucleotides) under Chlorocebus sabaeus (green monkey). RNAcentral's name for it is "Metazoan signal recognition particle RNA". It matches the Rfam family "Metazoan signal recognition particle RNA". Rfam says of the family: The signal recognition particle (SRP) is a universally conserved ribonucleoprotein. It is involved in the co-translational targeting of proteins to membranes. Lineage: Eukaryota; Metazoa; Chordata; Mammalia; Primates; Cercopithecidae. The record is from Rfam by way of RNAcentral.
GCCGGGCGUGUUGGCAUGUGCCUGUAAUCCCAGCUACUCGGGAGGCUGAGGCAGGAGAAUUGCUUGAACUCAGGAGGCAGAGAUUGCAGUGAGCCAAGAUCAUGUCACUGCACUCCAGCCUGAGUGACAGAGCAAGACUCUGUCUCAA